Molecule: transfer RNA, 70 nt
Organism: Cajanus cajan (pigeon pea)
Lineage: Eukaryota; Viridiplantae; Streptophyta; Magnoliopsida; Fabales; Fabaceae
Rfam family: tRNA
About the family: Transfer RNA (tRNA) molecules are approximately 80 nucleotides in length.
Source: Rfam
GGCGGCAUGGCCGAGUGGUAAGGCGGGGGACUGCAAAUCUUUUUUCCCAGUUCAAAUCCGGGUAUCGCCU